RNAcentral lists this ribosomal RNA (511 nucleotides) under uncultured bacterium. RNAcentral's name for it is "bacterial SSU rRNA". It matches the Rfam family "Bacterial small subunit ribosomal RNA", at positions 17 to 518 of the family's 1533-position model. The record is from RNAcentral.
UUCUGGCUCAGGAUGAACGCUAGCUACAGGCUUAACACAUGCAAGUCGAGGGGCAGCAUGAUCAAAGCUUGCUUUGAUUGAUGGCGACCGGCGCACGGGUGAGUAACGCGUAUCCAACCUUCCCUAUAGUAGUGGAUAGCCCGGCGAAAGUCGGAUUAAUACACUAUGUUAUUCAACGAGGACAUCUGAAAUGAAUCAAAGGUUUACCGCUAUAGGAUGGGGAUGCGUCUGAUUAGAUAGUAGGCGGGUAACGGCCCACCUAGUCGACGAUCAGUAGGGGUUCUGAGAGGAAGGUCCCCCACAUUGGAACUGAGACACGGUCCAAACUCCUACGGGAGGCAGCAGUGAGGAAUAUUGGUCAAUGGACGGGAGUCUGAACCAGCCAAGUAGCGUGCAGGAUGACGGCCCUAUGGGUUGUAAACUGCUUUUAUACGGGGAUAAAGUGAGCCACGUGUGGCUUUUUGUAGGUACCGUAUGAAUAAGGACCGGCUAAUUCCGUGCCAGCAGCGGC